Molecule: unclassified non-coding RNA, 342 nt
Filed under: soil metagenome
Description: partial contains 5.8S ribosomal RNA, internal transcribed spacer 2, and large subunit ribosomal RNA
Rfam family: 5.8S ribosomal RNA (bases 1-120)
Source: RNAcentral
GAUGAAGAACGUAGCGAAAUGCGAUAAGUAAUGUGAAUUGCAGAAUUCCGUGAAUCAUCGAAUCUUUGAACGCACAUUGCGCCCGCCAGCAUUCUGGCGGGCAUGCCUGUUCGAGCGUCAUUUCAACCCUCGAGCCCCCCCGGGGGCCUCGGUGUUGGGGGACGGCACACCAGCCGCCCCCGAAAUGCAGUGGCGACCUCGCCGCAGCCUCCCCUGCGUAGUAGCACACACCUCGCACCGGAGCGCGGAGACGGUCACGCCGUAAAACGCCCAACUUCUUAGAGUUGACCUCGGAUCAGGUAGGAAUACCCGCUGAACUUAAGCAUAUCAAUAAGCGGAGGA